UACGUAGGGGGCAAGCGUUGUUCGGAAUUACUGGGCGUAAAGGGCGCGUAGGCGGCACGGCAAGUCAGGGGUGAAAGCCCUGGGCUCAACCCGGGAACUGCUUUUGAAACUGCCGAGCUAGAGCGCGGAAGGGGCAACUGGAAUUCCCAGUGUAGCGGUGAAAUGCGUAGAUAUCUGGAGGAACACCGGUGGCGAAGGCGGCAUCCUGGACCGGUAUUGACGCUGAGGCGCGAAAGCCAGGGGAGCAAACGGG
Molecule: ribosomal RNA, 253 nt
Filed under: uncultured bacterium
Lineage: Bacteria
Description: partial 16S ribosomal RNA
Rfam family: Bacterial small subunit ribosomal RNA
Source: RNAcentral